CAGGCCGAACAGGUUGCGAUCGCUGUUGCGCUCACCGACGACAAUCUUUCCCAUAUCUACAGCGACUCCAUAGCCGCUAUCAGAGCUUUCCAGAAGGGCACGGUCUGCGCACAGGCUCUCAAAAUUGUUUCAAAGAAAGAGAUUAAGAAACACUUCAUAUACUGGUUCCCGGCAUACCUAGGACCAAAGCUCGGCGACGUCCCCAACCUUAACGAGGCGGCACACGAGGCUGCGCGCGCGCUUACAGACAGCGCGGCUUCACCCGACCACUCGGAGAAUAAGGACGCGCCCACUACAUACAACGAAGUCGCUAAAUACUACUACCUACAACGCAGACAAUAUAGCACGCCACACCGCACGCUCACUCGAGCUCAAGCGGUUACACUCAGAAUGCUACAAACAGACACAUACCCCACUCAAAACAGAUUGCACCAUUACAUGCCUGAGCUCUACAAGUCUUAUUGCACCAAUUGCAAUACAUCCCUUAACGUUUAUCAUUUACUCUGGCCGUGCUCGCAAGCUCACGUAAACUACGAACAGGAGAAGCGCAAGUUUGAAGAGGCAAUCCGGAGCGAAGAACGCGCUCCCCAACUCUGGGCCGUCCAGCAGGUCCACGACGCCGCCAGGAAACUCAACCUCCCGGUUCCGUCGUGGGAGACGCCCACUCCAUGAGAGCCCAAAGCUCUCGUGGCCUGCAGGACCUGAAUAAAGUUGAUUUCCUUCCUUCCUUGUCGAGAAGUUAAAAGAGGGAUGUGUGGGCAUUCUAACAAGCAAUUGUCUUAUGUUUUGCAUCUAUGAAAAUUUUCGCAAAUUCUUCUAUUGAUCGCUUAAAUUACUCAGUGCAUGCGCACGUUCAUCCAUUCAUCCAUCAAAUCUUCCAUCAUAUUCAUCCACUUACAAUUUUUAUGAGAAGUGAGGAUGGGAUGCACUCUGUUUCUUUUUUUUUUUUUUCGGGGCAAGGAGUUCUCGUAAAUUCGUGUCAUCAUCAUCAUCAGCCUAUAUUAUGUCCACUGGAGUACGAAGGCCUCUCCGUGCGAUCUCCAAUUAUCUCAAUUCUGCGCCAACCGAUUCGAACUAGCACCUGCGAAUUUCCUAAUUUCAUCGCUCCACUUAUUCAUUUGUCGUCCUCGAUUGCGUUUCCCUUCUCUUGGUACCCAUUCUGUAGCCCUAAUGGUCCCACCGUUAUCUAACCGGCGCAUUACAUGACCGGCAGUGUGCCAUUUUUUCCGUUAAUGUCAAUUAGCAUAUCGGCUAUGCCCGUUUGCUCUCUGAUCCAAACAGCUCUUUUUCUGCCUCUCAAGGUUCUGCCUAGCAUUCUUCGUUCCAUUCCUUUUUGUGCGGUCCUUAACGUGUUCUCAACCUUCUUUGUCAGUCUCCAAGUCUCUGCCCCACAUGUCAGCACCGGCAAAAUGCAAUGAUUAUACACCUUCCUUUUCAAUGAUAAUGGUAAGCUUCCAAUCAGGAGCCGACAAUGUCUGCCGUAUGAAAUCCAACCCGUUUUUAUUCUUCUAUGAAGUUCCUUCUCAUUAUCAGGGUUCCCAGUAAUUAUUUGAGAGCUAGUUUAAUGUACUCUUUCACAGACUGUAGAGGUUCACUGGCGAUCCUAAACUCUUGUUCCUUUCCCCGGUUGUGCAUCAUUAUCUUUGUCUAUAUAUGUGCAUUUGCAGUGGUAGUGGUAAGUGCAUCCUUUUACGAGGAAGCUUUAGCUCGGGCGCAACUCCGACGCUGCCUAUUCAUAUACAAGUGAAACGCAAAAACGUUUUUCUGAAAUAACCCCUGGACCGAUUUUUAUGAAAUUUGUUGCAUUUGAGAGAGAAAGUUAAAUUCUAGAGACUGUUGGAAGCGGAAUUUCUAUUUACGGCCUGAAUUUUGUUAAAAAGCUUUUCAAAUAUACAGAAGUUUGAAAAAAAAAAAUAGAAGCCCGAAGUUUACAAACUAAUAGCUCUGCAUCAGGAACAGAUAUCGCGGUUCUGUAAACAACAUCCAUUAUAUCAUUCAAAGCGGACAAAUUUAAUGUGUCAAUUUAUAUCCUACGUGAAUUUAUUACGAUGUGUACAAGGGUUCUGCAUAAGCUAUAUUUCCACAUUACUAGAUUUUCUUAGAUUCAUGUGUAACAUAUCAAAUUUGUCUGCUUUAGAUGUACUAUUAGAUACCAUUCACAAAAUUGCGGUAUCAUUUUUUUCUUGCUGAGUUACGAAGUUGUAAACAUGAUGAUUUCAUUUUGUGAAAUUUUGCGUGUUUUCACAAUUUUUUAUAAAAGAUUGAUGACCUGAAUCGAAAAUUUGAAACCAACAGUCACUAGAUAUUAAGUUUUUCUUUUAAAUUCAGCAAACCUCGUCAAAUUUUGUGCUUUGGUCGCCGAGAAAAACUAAUUCUCCUUUUGCAUGUAUUUAGACAGUAACACACGAGCUAAAGCUUCCUCUUAAAGCUUCUUAGAGAAAUAAGAAGAGGUCUGGGCGAAAACUUUAUUGGUCUGUAAUUGUGCAUCAAAGUUUCUUUGCUUUAUUAUGCGCUUUUUGUGUACGUCAAGUGGGAGUAAUCUUGUAAAACCAUAUCAGCAGUGUUUUGCUGAUGCGCAAUAUUAAAUUUCGCACGACGAGGCUGUUCGCAGUUGAAAAUCAUGUUUCUCUUUUCAGGCGUGUGUGUGUAUAUAUAUGUUCAAGCAACCUUAUGCUUUCUGGUCCUUUGGACUACGUGACGUAAAGCAUCACAAUGGGGCUCUGCUCUUUCAAUGAGAUGUAGACGCACUGUGGGAGUUACGUCAGCAUUGUGUCAUUCCAUUCUUGAUUUGGAGGUACUGUUAAAGUAGAGCACCAAGAAUAACUUAUUUAUUCUGGUUUCUUCAUAUUUCAAACGCGCAAAUAGAUUUGAGUUGGCAGUGCCAGGAGGUCCUGGCAUUGGGUAGUUUUGGGUUGCUAUUUUAAUUUUCUUUCUUUUCUGUGCAGAUCUGCUUGUCCCACGAGACAGGCUAUUCGUUCUGCAACUGAAAAUUACUAGGUCCACCUCGCUCCUGCAGCAGCGAAGCGAACAGCAUCCGCAGGCGCACGCUCAUGUCGGGCCACAGGUGCCGUUUGUGAGCAACGUAGGCGACACAGUGCCGCAGCCUUGCCGGUGGCAUGAACACUCCCUGAUGUCUCCGUGCAGCCGGAUGCUCCACAUUGAAAAUUGGUUGGCCAAGAUGUCCAGCAGGAUCCUGAGCAGCGUGCUCACUGGAAGUGGCAAAGAUGGCGACGAUCUCCAGACCAUGGACUUCGAACGAGAAAUCCAUCGAUCGGAAGCAACCUGGUCCGAGACCGCCGACCCAAGCUGCAGAGGUUCAGCUGCAACGCCAGGUGGCGAACCUGCGUCAGAGCGGCCACAUUUACCGCCACGACGACGUGGCCGUUCGAACCAUUGCUGAAAAUUAUGACGAACGCGUGUUUACGCACACACAAAAAUAAAGUCUCACAACACCGCUGGCCAUCAGGCCGGAAGACGACGACGACGGCGGCGGCGGCGUAUAGCAUCCAGGACGUGCCAGACGACUCGCACUUCAGAUGCCACUAGUCGAACUAACUAUAAGUCUUUGCGGGGUACAUCCUGAAUAGCCUAAGUAUAGCUUGGGCGGGGUCAUCGAAAAAGAGCACCGAUAACACGGCGCCUUAACGAGUUAUCGAGUUGGCAAAGGCAGACGAAAGACAAGGAGUGGAAUGGUGGUGGAUGGCAUGAAUAUCUUAAGGGACGAAAAACCACGUGCGACUGAAAAAUUUGGCGGAGAUGUUCGCAGUACCGCAUGCUGUUUGCGCACUGUUUUUCCCCAAGCCACUAAGGUGCUUCGGUACCCUUUUAACACUGUAAUGCCUGUAUACUGCACUGCUUGAGAUUCCGAAAUUCAAAUUUGAGCAGCUGAACCAGAAGUAGCGAUAUGAAUUCGCUGUCGAGCUAAGUGUCUGUUUUGAACAGCUUGGGAAUAGAGUUGCUAACUACAGUGCUAAGUAACUUUGCUCACAAAUUCUAUCUCCAGCACAAAUUUGCACUCCAUGGCGUGUAAUGGAGAAAAUUCUGCGUACGUGCAAGCGUGCUCGAGCAUUGCAGGGUUUAAAUACUCCCCCAAUACUGUUCGUUUCAGUGCUGUUGGAUGAUUCGAACAGCAAGUUCGUCAGUGUUCAAAAACUGCAGCAGUUGGCGACGAAGCCUGGAGUGAGCUUCUGCAAUAUUCACAGAGCAUCUUGAAGGCGUACCACAGGUUAAGUACAUAAAAUUUCCGGAUGGCUUAUCACGCGCCCCCAUAACUGGCGCCCGUGUAUUGUGUUGCAGGAAGAGUUUUUCGUGACGUUAGCAUUUUGCGGAGGUUAAGCAAUCGCUGUAUAAGAAGGAAGAGCCACUUGAAUACUGGUGUAAUUUGGGGCUUUUUUUUUGUUUCUCAGUUCUAUCUUGUGCUUUCCCUCGGUGGCUCCGCCCUCUUUUUUUUUUUUUUUUCUCUCGUACUGAAUAGCUGGUCGCACCUCUUAGCCUAAGACUUUCUUAAAGCUGUUCCAAAUAUUCUGCAUCCAGAGUAGCGAUUUUCCUCUCUUGCAUGUACCUCCUUCUUUCGGCUGUUACGGUUUUCUGUAUUUAGGAGUCGCCGCUAAGACUUUCUGAAACUGUCCUCAUGUCGUUGCCAUCGUUAAUUCGUACGUGGGUACUUGCGAUAUGGAAUAACAGCUACUGCGAAUCAUACGCAUAACUGAUCUAUUCGAUGUCAUUUUUUUAUGUUGCGAAAUUCCGCAGCGUAUUCUUCAUUCCGGCAUUUUUCGCGGUAGUCAUUUUUCGCGGUAGAAGAUUCGUUGGCUUAUAGCAACGUAGACGUCGCUGGCUAGCCGGUAACAAGAACGCUUACUGUGGACUCCGUGCAGCCGGAUGCUCCACAUUGAAUAUCGGUUGGCCAGGAUGUCGAGCAGGGUUGAACCGCCUUGCUCUGCAUUUUUCUUGCUCUGCAGCUAUGAACGCACGUAGUACACAUCCAAACAUUGAUGACUGCUGGCGUUACUGAACUGUAGUUCGCGAUUAGUGGUGGUAUUACUACUACACUCAGAGUAUUCGUACUGUUCGCCUUGCAUGUGACGCAGUACAACCCUCAAAUUGCACCUACGGCAGUCUCCUCUUGAUUUCGUUUGUGUGCGCGUGUUUUGACCCGCCCAUAGGAAUUAUUUGACUCGUGUAACGAAUGUUUACGAAUUUCUAAAUAAACUUGAAUGAAGGCCGUG
This is a non-coding RNA of Dermacentor andersoni, 5225 nucleotides long. Lineage: Eukaryota; Metazoa; Arthropoda; Arachnida; Ixodida; Ixodidae. The record is from RefSeq and is a predicted model, not a curated record.